CUCUGGGUACAUACUACUAUCAGAUACUAUUGGAGGCAUACUACUAGCAGACAGAGUCUAGAGUCUGCUGUAGUACCGAACCGCGACGGACGGCUUUGAUGGGACAGGCGCUGAGCUUCCUACCUACAGCUUUAUCUAAUCGUCCGACAGUCGCGUUCUUCAUCCUCGCUCGAUCGCACAAAAAUCGCACACCAAUCUCAUUACCCACACUCUUGCUGCUCAUUACCUGAGCACUCUCCUCCCACCACGGCUCACCGAUCAUUCCGAUAAACCGAUCGACCCCCGGUCUCUAUCAGUGAUUGUUCUUUAGGGAGCUUCUUUCAUCUGGUUGCUCGUUGUUGUAGUUGGUGUAGUUGUUGUUGUUGUUGCGGCCGUCGCUGUGACGUCGAUCCUUUAUCCUGAAUGGCAGCAGCUCCGACGACGGCUUCGACGACGCACGGUGGGGUUCUUUGGGCUCUCCCGGUGAUACGCGUGCGCAGUUAGUCGACAUUGACCGGUGCGUUCGGAUGUUGUUUUCCCGCGAGGAUCUUUCGGAAGUUCUGAUUAGAACUUUUCUUUUCUGUGUUUGCAUCAAGCGUACAGGUGCUGCAGUGGCGAGUGGUGGUUGUGCAUUGUGUGGUGUGCUAAGAAGCAAACAAGGUUGGAUCCAGCUUUCGCAAAUAUUGAAUCGAGCCGGUUUCCCAAUCGAACGCGCGGCGGAGAAACUCCGUUGGAUGUUUGAAGAAGCCUUCUGAAGUGAAGAAGGGCUCAAGUGUGAGCAGUUGUAUUCACUAUCUCUCUCCCGGAAAGAGGCUGGAAUCGCUGGAAGUGAAGUACUCUGCGUACUUGAGUGUAAUGAAGGGGAUGUAAAUAUUUGCAGAGUGCACAAAAGUUCUUGAUCGAUUAAGUGCUGGUUGUUCUUACGGUUGGCUAGGGAAA
This is a long non-coding RNA of Ochlerotatus camptorhynchus, 918 nucleotides long. RefSeq lists it as uncharacterized. The transcript is spliced from 2 exons. The record is from RefSeq and is a predicted model, not a curated record. NCBI's taxonomy places the organism in Eukaryota, Metazoa, Arthropoda, Insecta, Diptera, Culicidae.